This 366-nucleotide long non-coding RNA is filed under the name Elaeis guineensis (African oil palm). Its description in RNAcentral is "long non-coding RNA (EGUI_LNC066164)". Lineage: Eukaryota; Viridiplantae; Streptophyta; Magnoliopsida; Arecales; Arecaceae. The record is from RNAcentral.
GUCACCACAGGGACCUGCAAAGAAAGUCUAAAUCAGAGUUGGGGGUGCUCCGGCAAGACCCUCCGACGCUCAAGUCAGUUCUUUGCUUCAAAAAGAAUGGAGUGCUCGAAUGAAAAUUUUAGCAGAGUUUCGAGAUAGAAAUUAGAGCUUAGAGAAUAACGUAUCUGGGGUCUCCUUUUUAUAGGUGGAGGGUGCAACAGAUUGAUAGCGACAUUUGUAACUGCCUGGUAGUGGACCAUUCGGGGCUAGGAGGAGUUUAUUAUGAAGAGUAGUGGAGUGGAGUCGUGGCUAUCACCAUGGCCUGCCACGUGGAGCCUGUUGCGGGGAGUGGAGCAGUGUCCAUUGUCGCGACUUGUCAGAGAGUGG